GAUAAAAAGAGACCGAACACGAUUCCUGUAUUCGGUCCAGGGAAAUGGCUCUUGGGAGAGAGCCGUGCGCUAAAAGUUGGCAUUAAUGCAGGCUUAGUUGCCUUGCCCUUUAAGAAUAGAUGACGACGCCAGGUUUUCCAGUU
RNAcentral lists this small RNA (143 nucleotides) under Escherichia coli. Lineage: Bacteria; Pseudomonadati; Pseudomonadota; Gammaproteobacteria; Enterobacterales; Enterobacteriaceae. RNAcentral also lists the same sequence under 2 other names. The record is from RNAcentral.